This is a long non-coding RNA of Triticum aestivum (bread wheat), 6067 nucleotides long. RefSeq lists it as uncharacterized. The transcript has 2 exons. Lineage: Eukaryota; Viridiplantae; Streptophyta; Magnoliopsida; Poales; Poaceae. The record is from RefSeq and is a predicted model, not a curated record.
UGGUUUUACUCGUAGGAUGUCUCAUCCAGUGUGCCCUGAGAACGAGAUAUGUGCAGCUCCUAUCAGGAUUUGUCGGCACAUCGGGCGGCUUUGCUGGUCUUGUUUUACCAUUGUCGAAAUGCAAUCUUCAACAUACUUAUCUUCAUAUGCAACCGACUAUGUAACCCCAGGUACUACCGGCGUUUAUAUAAGCCGAGGGUUGUACACCGUAGAGGCCAACUCAUUCAUACUCGAUGUCGAGGUAGAUCAACCUAUACUCUGUACCCCAUCCAUCAAUACAAUCAAAGUGGGACACAAGGGUUUACCUCUUAGAGAGGGCCUGAACCUGGGUAAACAGUGGUGUCCCCUUGUGUCCUGUUACCAUCUAGUUAAGACUACCAGAUUGGGGCCCCUACCUCAGAUCGGCCGGAUUCGACUCUGUCAUUGGUGGCCCAUGCAGGACCCUCCGAGUAGUCAAAGCGACUCGAUGGUGUCACCAACUGAUGAUCAGAUCAGCGAUGACGCAGCUUUCAUGCUGGAAUUUCCCAUGCUUCGGCUUGCAACCGAUCCCUUGGGGGAGAUUCAGACUCCAACCCGUCACCGAGACGUCUAGCUUGGUGGGCCAGGCCUUGCUGCAAUAUCCCCCUCCAUGACACUAGAUCUGGUCGAGGAGCAGCAGGUGACUUCUGCCUAAGCACCAGCAUUAUACGAGGCUUGGGACGGAAACUACGAUGUGUUGGACCAGGCUUGGAGCCCGGGUCCGAGGACACGGUGUGGUGGCCAGGCUAGCCAGGCCCCGCAAGUAGCGAUCGACUGUCCGAGCUCCUGCUUGGCGUUCUUUUCCUGUUUGCGGGUUGUGGGUCACGCACUUGAUUAAGCACCCCAGGUUCUCCUACUGCACCCUUGGCCUUGACUUUAGGUAGCCUGUCCUCGGCUCGUCCCGUGCAUAAACCAGGUAUGCAUCGACUGUUCGAGCUCCUGCUCCCUAUUGGUGGUGCUUGAGCGUGCGGUUAUGGUGUCGCACAUAAAGGGAACACGGGAUGUGGGAUUGAGACAGUACUCAUAGCAGCCCGCAGCAGGGCAAAGAAUGCCCAUCCAGACUGGCAGGGAGCAAAGGUGGGCACAAAGGUGAACGUUGACUCGGAGUCUCAACAGUGCGCUCAUCAGUAAGAGCAGCACGAGCAAGAAGAUUUUGGAUAUACUUCUCUUGGGAAAUAAGGAACAAUCUCAAGGAAGUAGUGAAGAGGACUAAGAUUCAGCAGUGACCUUAUCACUAAGAGCAGCACGAGCAAGAAGAUCCUAGAUGUACUUCUCUCGGGAAAUAAAGAGGCCAUCAGAGGUAGAAGAAACCUCAGUUCCAAGUAGUGAAAGGGACCAAGAUCAGACAUUAAAUCUAUUCACUAAGACGAGCCUUCAAAAAGGCAAUACACUCAAAAUUCUUGGUAGUGAUGAUCAUGCCAUCGACAUAUAGGAGCAGUGGAUUGCUAAAGGUUGAUGACAUAGAUGGAAGUGGAGACAAACUCGACCCAAAAGUGCGACGGAAGAGUUGCGGUGACCAUAACGGACAAGUCGUCUCAAGAAGGUGACGAUGCUUGCGCUCAGCAACGCCAUUUUGAGCAUGAGCACCAGGAUAAGAGAACCAAAGUCUGCUCAAAAAGGAUUCCACCAGAGUCAUCACAAAACACAUGAAUAGGUGUAGAGAACUGAGUGUGAACCAUGGCAGCAAAAGGCUUAUAAGACCUCACUACAAGAAAUAAAGUAUAUCCAGGUGUGUCGAGAGAAGUUACUACUGGAGGCAAAGGCAGAUGGACCCCUGAGAUCAUAUUGAACAAGAAUGGAAGGACGACAAGACACUGUCUCGCUAUGAGUAUAAGGUAAUUGGGCCGUGGAUUAGAGACAUCAUCGGAGACGGAUCGAAGAAGGCCACGUCGAACUAAGGAUGAGAGAUAACAAGUGAUCCAAGGGGAUGAUGCCAAUCCUGAAAAUAACUGGUAGACAAGGCAACAGAGGCAGAGACUGGCGAUGGUGGCAGCAGAGGGACUUGAUCUAGCAUCCCACGUGCCUAUGCACUCUUCGUACCCCAUCGAUCCGGCUUGGCGUUCUUUUCCUGUUUGCGGGUUGUGGGUCACACACUUGAUUAAGCACCCCAGGUUCUCCUACUGCGCCCUUGGCCUCGACUUUAGGUAGCGCCUGUCCUCAGCUCGUCCCGUGCAUAAACCAGGUAUGCAUCGACUGUCGGAGCUCCUGCUCACUAUUGGUGGUGCUCGAGCGUGCGGUUAUGGUGUCGCACAUAAAGGGAAUACGGGAUGUGGGAUUGAGACAGUACUCAUAGCAGCCCGCAGCAAGGUAAAGAAUGCCCAUCCAGACUGGCAGGGAGCAAAGGUAGGCACAAAGGUGAACGUUGACUCGGAGUCUCAACAGUGCGCUCAUCAGUAAGAGCAGCACGAGCAAGAAUAUUUUGGAUAUACUUCUCUUAGGAAAUAAGGAACAAUCUCAAGGAAGUAGCGAAGAGGACUAAGAUUCAGCAGUGACCUUAUCACUAAGAGCAGCACGAGCAAAUGUACUUCUCUUGGGAAAUAAACAAGCCAUCAGAGGUAGAAGAAACCUUAGUUCCAAGUAGUGAAAGGGACCAAGACCAGACAUUAAAUCUAUUCACUAAGACGAGCCUUCAAAAAGGCAAUACACUCAAAAUUCUUGGUAGUGAUGGUCAUGCCAUCGACAUAUAGGAGCAGUGGAUUGCUAAAGGUUGAUGAGAUAGAUGGAAGUGGAGACAAACUCGACCCAAAAGUGCGACGGAAGAGAUGCGGUGACCAUAACGGACAAGUCGUCUCAAGAAGGUGACGGUGCUUGCGCUCAGCCACGCCAUUUUGAGCAUGAGCACCAGGAUAAGAGAACCAAAGUCUGCUCAAAUAGGAUUCCACCAGAGUCAUCACAGAACACAUGAAUAGGUGUAGAGAACUGAGUGUGAACCAUGGCAGCAAAAGGCUUAUAAGACAUCACUACAAGAAAUAAAGUAUAUCCAGGUGUGUCGAGAGAAGUUACUACCGGAGGCAAAGGGAGAUGGACCCCUCAGAUCAUAUUGAACAAGAACGGAAGGACGACGAGACACUGUCUCGCUAUGAGUAUAAGGUAAUUGGGCCUUGGAUUAGAGACAUCAUCGGAGACGGAUCGAAGAAGACCACGUCGAACUAAGGAUGAGAGAUAACAAGUGAUCCAAGGGGAUGAGGCCAAUCCUGAAAAUAACUGGUAGACAAGGCAACAAAGGCAGAGACUGGCGAUGGUGGCAGCAGAGGGACUUGAUCCAACAUCCCACGUGCCUAUGCACUCUUCGUACCCCACCGAUCCGGCUUGGCGUUCUUUUCCUGUUUGCGGGUUGUGGGUCACGCACUUGAUUAAGCACCCCAGGUUCUCCUACUGCGCCCUUGGCCUUGACUUUAAGUAGCGCCUGUCCUCGGCUCGUCCCGUGCAUAAACCAGGUAUGCAUCGACUGUCCGAGCUCCUGCUCCCUAUUGGUGGUGCUCGAGCGUGCGGUUAUGGUGUCGCACAUAAAGGGAACACGGGAUGUGGGAUUGAGACAGUACUCAUAGCAGCCCGCAGCAAGGCAAAGAAGGCCCAUCCAGACUGGCAGGGAGCAAAGGUGGGCACAAAGGUGAGCAUUGACUCGGAGUCUCAACAGUGCGCUCAUCGGUAAGAGUAGGACGAGCAAGAAGAUUUUGGAUAUACUUCUCUUGGGAAAUAAGGAACAAUCUCAAGGAAGUAGCGAAGAGGACUAAGAUUCAGCAGUGACCUUAUCACUAAGAGCAACACGAGCAAGAAGAUCCUAAAUGUACUUCUCUUGGGAAAUAAAGAAGCCAUCAGAGGUAGAAGAAACCUCAGUUCCAAGUAGUGAAAGGGACCAAGAUCAGACAUUAAAUCUAUUCACUAAGACGAGCCUUCAAAAAGGCAAUACACUCAAAAUUCUUGGUAGUGAUGAUCAUGUCAUCGACAUAUAGGAGCAGUGGAUUGCUAAAGGUUGAUGAGAUAGAUGGAAGUGGAGACAAACUCGACCCAAAAGUGUGACAGAAGAGAUGCGGUGACCAUAACGGACAAGUCGUCUCAAGAAGGUGACGAUGCUUGCGCUCAGCCACGCCAUUUUGAGCAUGAGCACCAGGAUAAGAGAACCAAAGUCUGCUCAAAAAGGAUUCCACCAGAGUCAUCACAGAACACAUGAAUAGGUGUAGAGAACUGAGUGUGAACCAUGGCAGCAAAAGGCUUAUAAGACCUCACUACAAGAAAUAAAGUAUAUCCAGGUGUCUCGAGAGAAGUUACUACCGGAGGCAAAGGGAGAUGGACCCCUCAGAUCAUAUUGAACAAGAACGGAAGGACGACGAGACACUGUCUCGCUAUGAGUAUAAGGUAAUUGGGCCAUGGAUUAGAGACAUCAUCGGAGACGGAUCGAAGAAGACCACGUCGAAUUAAGGAUGAGAGAUAACAAGUGAUCCAAGGGGAUGACGCCAAUCAAUAAGAGCAGCGUGAGUAAGAAGAUCCUAAAUUAUUAUUAUUUUAGCAUUAAGGGACCUCAAUCCCAAGAAAGUGGCAGAGAGGGCUAAGAUAAAACAUAAGAAACUGCAUACUAAGACAUGCCCUAACAAAGGCAAUAUACUCACGGUCUGCGUCAGUGAUGAUCAUGUCAUCAACUUAUAGAAGAAGAGUGCUACCAAGAACAGAAAGAAGGACAAACAAUGUCGGAUCAUGAGCACUCGAUGAAAAUCAGCAGUAGCCACCAUAGAGGCAAAACGCUCAAACCAGGUGCGAGGGGCUUGCUUAGAGCCAUAGUGAGAGUGAUGAAGACGAGAAAGCAUGUCGUAAGGAGCAGGACACCAUUAAGAAAUGCAUUCUUAACAUCAAGCCUGGACACAGAUGAGUGGCAAACAGAGGCCUCAAUAAGAAGUGUGCGAACAGUGGUGAGCAAAAGUCUCAUCGUAAUCAAGACCACGCUCCUACUGAAAGCCAUUAUGCACAACACGAGAUUUGUAACGCCCAAGAGAACCAUCAGAGUGAGUCCUAACCUUGUAGACCCACCAAGUGAUGGGACGAACACGAGGAGGAACAUAUACAAUAUCCCACGCGCCAAUGCGCUCAAGAGCAGCAGUCUCCUCUGCCAUCACAAGGUGCCAUUUGGUAUGAACAACACCACAAUAAGAAGUUGGCUCAAGAACAACAUCGCCAAUGCUUGGAAGACCUAGACGGUUAACAUGCCAAAGCGGACGAGGACGCAAGCCAUAAGUAGGCUGAGACGAGGGAGAUGGCACAUCAAUAGACGCAUCCACAACACGUAGACGUCCUGUAUAGAAAUUAGGAAAAGAUGGAAGAAUGCGAGUUGGAAUCAUCGGGAUAAACUCAGGUGAUGGAGACAAGGAAGCCAUCGGUGAUGAAGGUGUAGAAUCAUGUGAUAAGUGAGGUGAGGAAAUUAUAGGAGAUGAUGAUGUUGGUUCUACAAUAAUUAGAGAAGUAGGAGCAGUAUGACGACUGGAUAAGGGCUCAAUAGGAGUGGUAGGAGUGUCGGGAAAAUUGUGGAAAGAGAUAUACUCCACUUAAAAGGCCGAAGAUGGACUCAACAAAAGUCAUAUCCCGAGAAAUAGGCAUUCGACGACCAACAUGAUCCCAACAAUGAUAUCCCUUAUGCUCAUCGUUGUAUCCUAAGAAGAAACACUCAACAGGCUCACAAGUCAGUUUGGUGCGUUCACGAGGGGCAAGAAGGACAUAGCAAACACAACCAAAUAAUUGAAGCGCCGAAUAAAUGAUCAAAUAAACGCUCGAAAGGAGCGUCACCCUGCAGAGCAGUGGAUUGCUAAAGGUUGAUGAGAUAGAUGGAAGUGGAGACAAACUCGACCCAAAAGUGCGACGGAAGAGAUGCGGUGACCAUAACGGACAAGUCGUCUCAAGAAGGUGACGAUGCUUGCGCUCAGCCACGCCAUUUUGAGCAUGAGCACCAGGAUAAGAGAACCAAAGUCUGCUCAAAAAGGAUUCCACCAGAGUCAUCACAGAACACAUGAAUAGGUGUAGAGAACUGAGUGUGAACCAUGGCAGCAAAAGGCUUAUAAGACCU